UCCUCCCUCUGGCGGCGUGCUUAACACAUGCAAGUCGAACGGAAAGGCCCCUUUGGGGGUACUCGAGUGGCGAACGGGUGAGUAACACGUGAGUAACCUGCCCUUGACUUCGGGAUAACUUCAGGAAACUGGGGCUAAUACCGGAUAGGAAUCCUUGCUGCAUGGUGGGGGUUGGAAAGCUUCGGCGGUUUUGGAUGGACUCGCGGCUUAUCAGCUUGUUGGUGGGGUAGUGGCUUACCAAGGCUUUGACGGGUAGCCGGCCUGAGAGGGCGACCGGCCACAUUGGGACUGAGAUACGGCCCAGACUCCUACGGGAGGCAGCAGUGGGGAAUAUUGCACAAUGGGCGGAAGCCGGAUGCAGCAACGCCGCGUGCGGGAUGACGGACUUCGGGUUGUAAACCGCGUUCAGCAGGGGCGAAGCUUGUGGUGACGGUACCUGCAGAAGAAGCACCGGCUAACUACGUG
Molecule: ribosomal RNA, 465 nt
Filed under: uncultured bacterium
Lineage: Bacteria
Description: partial 16S ribosomal RNA
Rfam family: Bacterial small subunit ribosomal RNA
Source: RNAcentral